CCGACGGUGAGAGGCGAAAGCUGGGGGAGCAAACCGGAUUAGAUACCCGGGUAGUCCCAGCCGUAAACGAUGUGCGUUAGGUGUAUCGGUGACCACGAGUCACCGAGGUGCCGAAGAGAAAUCGUGAAACGUACCGCCUGGGAAGUACGGUCGCAAGGCUGAAACUUAAAGGAAUUGGCGGGGGAGCACCACAACAGGUGGAGCCUGCGGUUUAAUCGGACUCAACGCCGGGAAACUCACCAGAUAAGACAGCUGAAUGAUAGUCGGGCUGAAGACUCUACUUGACUAGCUGAGAGGAGGUGCAUGGCCGUCGUCAGUUCGUACUGUGAAGCAUCCUGUUAAGUCAGGCAACGAGCGAGACCCACGCAACAGUUGCUA
Molecule: ribosomal RNA, 378 nt
Filed under: uncultured archaeon
Lineage: Archaea
Description: bacterial SSU rRNA
Rfam family: Archaeal small subunit ribosomal RNA
Source: RNAcentral